RNAcentral lists this ribosomal RNA (440 nucleotides) under uncultured bacterium. RNAcentral describes it as "partial 16S ribosomal RNA". It matches the Rfam family "Bacterial small subunit ribosomal RNA", at positions 338 to 795 of the family's 1533-position model. The record is from RNAcentral.
CCUACGUGUGGCAGCAGUGGGGAAUAUUGCACAAUGGGGGAAACCCUGAUGCAGCAACGCCGCGUGAGUGAAGACGUACUUCGUUAUGUAAAGCUCUAUCAUCAGGGACGAUAAUGACGGUACCUGAGUAAGAAGCCACGGCUAACUACGUGCCAGCAGCCGCGGUAAUCCGUAGGGGGCAAGCGUUAUCCGGAUUUACUGGGUGUAAAGGGAGCGUAGACGGCAGUGCAAGUCUGGAGUGAAAGGCGGGGGCUCAACUCAAGGGCUGCACUUGAAACUGGACGGCUGGAGUGCAGGAGAGGGAAAUGGAAUUCCUAGUGUAGCGGUGAAAUGCGUAGAUAUUAGGAGGAACACCAGUGGCGAAGGCGGUUUACUGGACUGUAACUGACGCUGAGGCUCGAAAGCGUGGGGAGCAAACAGGAUUAGAUACCCGGGUAGUC